CGAGGUAGGGGAUGUUGUUGGUGUCGGCCGAGGCCACUUUGAAAAACGGCACAUUUAUUUCGUGAAGAAACUCCACCGCCAUCUGACAGAGCUCUUCCCAUCUGAACUGAUGUCUGCGCACCACUGAAAGUACGUAGCUGAAGCCCUGAUGAGUGAUUUUCUGCAGCGCUUCAUUGAUGUGAUGAGGGUGAAGACAUGGAGAGGUGGCCUGAAUAUGACAGAUCACGUCCACCUCUGAAACACACACAGACAAAACUCAGCAGGAACCCUUCAGGAUAUUACACAUUUCUCCAUGGAAAUGAAUUCUAUUUAUGCUAAUUAUUUAUGUUAUUAUGAGACUGAUUAUUAUAAUGAAUGUACAAAUAAUAUUGUGGACUCUACAGUGUUAUUCAUUAAUAUAUAUUAAAUACAACAUUUAUUAAAUAAAAUUGCAUUAUGAUUAUGA
Long non-coding RNA from Danio aesculapii, 445 nucleotides. RefSeq lists it as uncharacterized. The transcript has 2 exons. The record is from RefSeq and is a predicted model, not a curated record. NCBI's taxonomy places the organism in Eukaryota, Metazoa, Chordata, Actinopteri, Cypriniformes, Danionidae.